Molecule: ribosomal RNA, 253 nt
Filed under: uncultured bacterium
Lineage: Bacteria
Description: partial 16S ribosomal RNA
Rfam family: Bacterial small subunit ribosomal RNA
Source: RNAcentral
UACGGAGGGUGCAAGCGUUGUCCGGAUUCAUUGGGUUUAAAGGGUGCGCAGGCGGGACAUUAAGUCAGGGGUGAAAGGCGGUUGCUCAACAAUCGCAGUGCCUUUGAUACUGGUGUUCUUGGGUGACCUUGAGGUAGGCGGAAUGGGUGGUGUAGCGGUGAAAUGCAUAGAUACCACCCAGAACUCCGAUUGCGAAGGCAGCCUACUGGAGGUUUACCGACGCUCAGGCACGAAAGCGUGGGUAGCAAACAGG